This 306-nucleotide ribosomal RNA is filed under the name uncultured bacterium. RNAcentral's name for it is "partial 16S ribosomal RNA". It matches the Rfam family "Bacterial small subunit ribosomal RNA", at positions 507 to 807 of the family's 1533-position model. The record is from RNAcentral.
GACAGCAGUCGCCGCGGGAAUACAGAGGGUGCGAGCGUUAAUCGGAUUUACUGGGCGUAAAGCGUGCGUAGGCGGCUUUUUAAGUCGGAUGUGAAAUCCCUGAGCUUAACUUAGGAAUUGCAUUCGAUACUGGGAAGCUAGAGUAUGGGAGAGGAUGGUAGAAUUCCAGGUGUAGCGGUGAAAUGCGUAGAGAUCUGGAGGAAUACCGAUGGCGAAGGCAGCCAUCUGGCCUAAUACUGACGCUGAGGUACGAAAGCAUGGGGAGCAAACAGGAUUAGAUACCCCAGUAGUCCCUGUCUCUUAUAC